GAGGAAGUGAGCUGCCAUGUACUAGGCCACGUGGCAAGGGCCUGGUUGGGGACCUCCAGGAGUUGAGAGCAUCCUCUGGACAACAUGGAAAAAGAAAAUGAAAAUGGUGACCUCAGCCCUAUAGCUAGAAGGAAUUGAAUCCUGUCAACAACGAUCCUCAUCACUCAAUGCAGAUGUUACUUUAAGACAUUCUGGAGCAGCGUCAUGUGCAGGAGAAAAUAGUAUCAUCUCAGCCUUCUAUGAAAUCAAGGCAAUAUUUGAUUGCAGCUGGAUAUCCAGUGACCAAGAGACCCUGCACA
This 299-nucleotide long non-coding RNA is filed under the name Pan troglodytes (chimpanzee). RNAcentral's name for it is "long non-coding RNA NONPTRT014164". Lineage: Eukaryota; Metazoa; Chordata; Mammalia; Primates; Hominidae. The record is from RNAcentral.